GGCUGUGUGGCCCAGUGGUUAAGGCAUCUGCUUUACAUGUAAUCGCAGUAUCGCAGAGGAUCGCAGGUUCGAGCCCUGCCACGGUCA
Molecule: non-coding RNA, 87 nt
Organism: Parathielavia appendiculata
Lineage: Eukaryota; Fungi; Ascomycota; Sordariomycetes; Sordariales; Chaetomiaceae
Source: the annotation of a RefSeq genome assembly